This 624-nucleotide ribosomal RNA is filed under the name Leptocoris augur. RNAcentral describes it as "SSU rRNA". It matches the Rfam family "Eukaryotic small subunit ribosomal RNA", at positions 477 to 1017 of the family's 1831-position model. The record is from RNAcentral. Lineage: Eukaryota; Metazoa; Arthropoda; Insecta; Hemiptera; Rhopalidae.
UAACGAUACGGGACUCAUCCGAGGCCCCGUAAUCGGAAUGAGAACACUCUAAAUCCUUUAACGAGGAUCUAUUGGAGGGCAAGUCUGGUGCCAGCAGCCGCGGUAAUUCCAGCUCCAAUAGCGUAUAUUAAAGUUGUUGCGGUUAAAAAGCUCGUAGUUGGUUCUGCGUGCCACGCUGUCGGUUCACCGGUUGCCGGUGCAACUGGCAUGUCGUGGCAUGUCCUGUCGGUGGCGGACAGGCUCGCGGCGUGCCCUAUGCGGUAACGUGUAGGUUGCUGCGCCGCGAUGUUUCUGUUCGCCGGCUCAAUCCUACCGCGGUGCUCUUUACCGAGUGUCGAGGUAGGCCGACACUGUUUACUUUGAACAAAUUAGAGUGCUUAAAGCAGGCUCUUAAAUCAGCCUGAAUAGUGGUGCAUGGAAUAAUGGAACAGGACCUUGGUUCUAUUUUGUUGGUUUUCGGAAUCCAAGGUAAUGAUCAAUAAGGACAGGCGGGGGCAUUCGUAUUGCGGCGUUAGAGGUGAAAUUCUUGGAUCGUCGCAAGACGCACUAGAGCGAAAGCAUUUGCCAAGUAUGUCUUAAUUGAUCAAGAACGAAAGUUAGAGGUUCGAAGGCGAUCAGAUACCG